This 213-nucleotide ribosomal RNA is filed under the name uncultured Staphylococcus sp. Its description in RNAcentral is "partial 16S ribosomal RNA". It matches the Rfam family "Bacterial small subunit ribosomal RNA", at positions 126 to 334 of the family's 1533-position model. The record is from RNAcentral. Lineage: Bacteria; Bacillati; Bacillota; Bacilli; Caryophanales; Staphylococcaceae.
AACACUAUAAGACUGGGAUAACUUCGGGAAACCGGAGCUAAUACCGGAUAAUAUAUUGAACCGCAUGGUUCAAUAGUGAAAGACGGUUUGCUGUCACUUAUAGAUGGAUCCGCGCCGCAUUAGCUAGUUGGUAAGGUAACAGCUUACCAAGGCAACGAUGCGUAGCCGACCUGAGAGGGUGAUCGGCCACACUGGAACUGAGACACGGUCCAG